UCACCUGGCAUCUUGCUGUCGUCCUUCUCUUCAGAUGGCAGCAUGAUGCCAGGGCAG
RNAcentral lists this microRNA precursor (57 nucleotides) under Canis lupus familiaris (dog). RNAcentral describes it as "Cfa-Novel-17_pre stem-loop". Lineage: Eukaryota; Metazoa; Chordata; Mammalia; Carnivora; Canidae. The record is from RNAcentral.